CGGACGGGUGAGUAAUGCUUGGGAAUCUGGCUUAUGGAGGGGGAUAACUACGGGAAACUGUAGCUAAUACCGCGUAAUAUCUUCGGAUUAAAGGGUGGGACUUUCGGGCCACCUGCCAUAAGAUGAGCCCAAGUGGGAUUAGGUAGUUGGUGGGGUAAAGGCCUACCAAGCCGACGAUCUCUAGCUGGUCUGAGAGGAUGACCAGCCACACUGGAACUGAGACACGGUCCAGACUCCUACGGGAGGCAGCAGUGGGGAAUAUUGCACAAUGGGGGGAACCCUGAUGCAGCCAUGCCGCGUGAAUGAAGAAGGCCUUCGGGUUGUAAAGUUCUUUCGGUGAUGAGGAAGGUGUUUGUUUUAAUAGAACAAGCAAUUGACGUUAGUCACAGAAGAAGCACCGGCUAACUCCGUGCCAGCAGCCGCGGUAAUACGGAGGGUGCGAGCGUUAAUCGGAAUGACUGGGCGUAAAGGGCACGCAGGCGGUGACUUAAGUGAGAUGUGAAAGCCCCGGGCUUAACCUGGGAAUUGCAUUUCAUACUGGGUCGCUAGAGUAUUUUAGGGAGGGGUAGAAUUCCACGUGUAGCGGUGAAAUGCGUAGAGAUGUGGAGGAAUACCGAANGCGAAGGCAGCCCCUUGGGAAUAUACUGACGCUCAUGUGCGAAAGCGUGGGGAGCAAACAGGAUUAGAUACCCUGGUAGUCCACGCUGUAAACGCUGUCGAUUUGGGGAUUGG
RNAcentral lists this ribosomal RNA (732 nucleotides) under uncultured Actinobacillus sp. RNAcentral's name for it is "bacterial SSU rRNA". It matches the Rfam family "Bacterial small subunit ribosomal RNA", at positions 99 to 827 of the family's 1533-position model. The record is from RNAcentral. Lineage: Bacteria; Pseudomonadati; Pseudomonadota; Gammaproteobacteria; Pasteurellales; Pasteurellaceae.